CAAUAACGACUCCAAGGUGUCCCCAUAUAAACACUAUUGACUCCCAGGUGUCCCCAUAUAGACACUAUUUACUCCCAGGUGUCCCCAUAGAGACACUAACGACUCCCAGGUAUCCCCAUAGAGACACUAAUGACUCCCAGGUAUGCCCAUAGAGACACUAAUGACUCCCAGGUGUCCCCAUAGAGACACUAACGACUCCCAGGUAUCCCCAUAGAGACACUAAUGACUCCCAGCUAUCCCCAUAGAGACACUAACGACUCCCAGGUAUCCCCAUAGAGACACUAAUGACUCCCAGGUGUUCCCAUAGAGACACUAACGACUCCCUGGUGUCCCCACAGAGACACUAACGACUCCCAGGUAUCCCCAUAGAGACACUAAUGACUCCCAGGUAUCCCCAUAGAGACACUAAUGACUCCCAGGUAUCCCCAUAGACACUAAUGACUCCCAGGUGUUCCCAUAGAGACACUAACAACUCCCUGAUGUCCACAUAAAGACGAUAACGACUCCCAGGUGUCCCCAUAGAGAUGAUAACAACUCCCAGGUGUCCCCAUAGAGACAAUAACCACUCCCAGAUUUCCCCGUAGAGACAAUAAUGACUCCCAAGAUCCUCUGUUGGGAUGUUAAUAACUCCCAGGUGUCCCCAUAGAGACAAAAACGACUCCCAGGUAUCCCCAUAGAGACACUAAUGACUCCCAGGUGUUCCCAUAGAGACACUAACGACUCCCUGGUGUCCACAUAGAGACGAUAACGACUCCCAGAUGUCCCCAUAGAGAUGAUAACGACUCCCAGGUGUCCCCAUAGAGACAAUAACGACUCCCAGGUUUCCCCAUAGAGACAAUAAUGACUCCCAAGAUCCUCCGUUGGGAUGUUAAUAACUCCCAGGUAUCCGCAUAGAGACACUCAUGACUCCCAGGUGUACCCAUAGAGACGAUAACUCCCAGGUGUACCCAUAGAGACGAUAACUCCCAGGUGUACCCAUAGAGACAAUAACGACUCCCUGGUGUCCACAUAGAGACGAUAACGACUCCCAGGUGUACCCAUAGAGACAAUAAAAAGUUUUCUUUUGAAUUCAGUGUCCAGGUGAACAGCUGAGGUGGACUCAGUAAUCAGGACGAUCGAUUAUAUCACCACAGCUGUUGAUGAAUGCAGUUUUCAGGUUGUUUGAUGACCUCAUUCUAAAUGUUGUUUUUUUUUA
Molecule: long non-coding RNA, 1195 nt
Organism: Epinephelus moara (kelp grouper)
Lineage: Eukaryota; Metazoa; Chordata; Actinopteri; Perciformes; Serranidae
Exons: 3
Source: RefSeq, a predicted model, not a curated record